RNAcentral lists this ribosomal RNA (403 nucleotides) under uncultured Eubacteriales bacterium. RNAcentral's name for it is "uncultured Clostridiales bacterium partial 16S ribosomal RNA". It matches the Rfam family "Bacterial small subunit ribosomal RNA", at positions 355 to 774 of the family's 1533-position model. The record is from RNAcentral. Lineage: Bacteria; Bacillati; Bacillota; Clostridia; Eubacteriales.
UGGGGAAUAUUGGGCAAUGGAGGAAACUCUGACCCAGCAACGCCGCGUGAAGGAUGAAGGUUUUCGGAUUGUAAACUUCUGUCGCAGAGGACGAAGAAUGACGGUACUCUGUAAGAAAGCUCCGGCAAACUACGUGCCAGCAGCCGCGGUAAUACGUAGGGAGCAAGCGUUGUCCGGAAUGACUGGGCGUAAAGGGAGUGUAGGCGGCUUGGCAAGUUAUAUGUGAAAGCCCUGAGCUUAACUCAGGAACUGCAUAUAAAACUGCCUGGCUAGAGUGUGGGAGAGGUAAGUGGAAUUCCUAGUGUAGCGGUGGAAUGCGUAGAUAUUAGGAGGAACACCAGUGGCGAAGGCGACUUACUGGACCAUAACUGACGCUGAGGCUCGAAAGCGUGGGGAGCAAACA